GACGAACGCUGGCGGCGUGCUUAACACAUGCAAGUCGAACGGAAAGGCCCUGCUUGCCGGGUGCUCGAGUGGCGAACGGGUGAGUAACACGUGGGUGAUCUGCCCCUUACUUUGGGAUAAGCCUGGGAAACUGGGUCUAAUACUGGAUAGGACCAUGCUGUAGGUGGUGUGGUGGAAAGAUUUUUUCGGUAAGGGAUGAGCUCGCGGCCUAUCAGCUUGUUGGUGGGGUAAUGGCCUACCAAGGCGUCGACGGGUAGCCGGCCUGAGAGGGUGGACGGCCACAUUGGGACUGAGAUACGGCCCAGACUCCUACGGGAGGCAGCAGUGGGGAAUAUUGCACAAUGGGCGCAAGCCUGAGGCAGCGACGCCGCGUGGGGGAUGACGGCCUUCGGGUUGUAAACUCCUUUCAGCCAUGACGAAGCCUCUUUUGGGGUGACGGUAGUGGUAGAAGAAGCACCGGCUAACUACGUG
Molecule: ribosomal RNA, 471 nt
Filed under: uncultured bacterium
Lineage: Bacteria
Description: partial 16S ribosomal RNA
Rfam family: Bacterial small subunit ribosomal RNA
Source: RNAcentral